CUGGAAACGGUAGCUAAUACCGCAUAACGUCUACGGACCAAAGUGGGGGACCUUCGGGCCUCACGCCAUCAGAUGUGCCCAGAUGGGAUUAGCUAGUAGGUGGGGUAAUGGCUCACCUAGGCGACGAUCCCUAGCUGGUCUGAGAGGAUGACCAGCCACACUGGAACUGAGACACGGUCCAGACUCCUACGGGAGGCAGCAGUGGGGAAUAUUGCACAAUGGGCGCAAGCCUGAUGCAGCCAUGCCGCGUGUGUGAAGAAGGCCUUAGGGUUGUAAAGCACUUUCAGCGAGGAGGAAGGGUUCAGUGUUUUUUUCUUUUUUUCAUUGACGUUACUCGCAGAAGAAGCACCGGCUAACUCCGUGCCAGCAGCCGCGGUAAUACGGAGGGUGCAAGCGUUAAUCGGAAUUACUGGGCGUAAAGCGCACGCAGGCGGUUUGUUAAGUCAGAUGUGAAAUCCCCGCGCUUAACGUGGGAACUGCAUUUGAAACUGGCAAGCUAGAGUCUUGUAGAGGGGGGUAGAAUUCCAGGUGUAGCGGUGAAAUGCGUAGAGAUCUGGAGGAAUACCGGUGGCGAAGGCGGCCCCCUGGACAAAGACUGACGCUC
Molecule: ribosomal RNA, 604 nt
Filed under: Serratia sp. J48
Lineage: Bacteria; Pseudomonadati; Pseudomonadota; Gammaproteobacteria; Enterobacterales; Yersiniaceae
Description: bacterial SSU rRNA
Rfam family: Bacterial small subunit ribosomal RNA
Source: RNAcentral